GCCUGGCUGGCUCAGUUGGUAGAACAUCUGACUCUUGAUCUCAAGGUCAUGAGUUCAAGACUCACGCUGGGUC
This 73-nucleotide transfer RNA is filed under the name Felis catus (domestic cat). It matches the Rfam family "tRNA". Rfam says of the family: Transfer RNA (tRNA) molecules are approximately 80 nucleotides in length. Their secondary structure includes four short double-helical elements and three loops (D, anti-codon, and T loops). Further hydrogen bonds mediate the characteristic L-shaped molecular structure. tRNAs have two regions of fundamental functional importance: the anti-codon, which is responsible for specific mRNA codon recognition, and the 3' end, to which the tRNAs corresponding amino acid is attached (by aminoacyl-tRNA synthetases). tRNAs cope with the degeneracy of the genetic code in two manners: having more than one tRNA (with a specific anti-codon) for a particular amino acid; and 'wobble' base-pairing, i.e. permitting non-standard base-pairing at the 3rd anti-codon position. Lineage: Eukaryota; Metazoa; Chordata; Mammalia; Carnivora; Felidae. The record is from Rfam by way of RNAcentral.